RNAcentral lists this ribosomal RNA (490 nucleotides) under uncultured bacterium. RNAcentral describes it as "bacterial SSU rRNA". It matches the Rfam family "Bacterial small subunit ribosomal RNA", at positions 903 to 1397 of the family's 1533-position model. The record is from RNAcentral.
AAAGGAAUUGACGGGGACCCGCACAAGCAGCGGAGCAUGUGGUUUAAUUCGAAGCAACGCGAAGAACCUUACCAGGGCUUGACAUCCUUCUGACCGGAACUUAACCGUUCCUUUCUUCGGACAGAAGUGACAGGUGGUGCAUGGUUGUCGUCAGCUCGUGUCGUGAGAUGUUGGGUUAAGUCCCGCAACGAGCGCAACCCUUGUCGUUAGUUACUAACAUUCAGUUGAGGACUCUAAUGAGACUGCCGUGGAUAACACGGAGGAAGGUGGGGAUGACGUCAAAUCAUCAUGCCCCUUAUGUCCUGGGCUACACACGUGCUACAAUGGUCGGUACAAAGAGACGCGAGACAGCGAUGUGGAGCAAAUCUCAAAAGCCGAUCCCAGUUCGGAUUGCAGGCUGCAACUCGCCUGCAUGAAGUCGGAGUUGCUAGUAAUCGUGGAUCAGAAUGCCACGGUGAAUGCGUUCCCGGGUCUUGUACACACCGCCCGU